Molecule: ribosomal RNA, 512 nt
Filed under: uncultured bacterium
Lineage: Bacteria
Description: partial 16S ribosomal RNA
Rfam family: Bacterial small subunit ribosomal RNA
Source: RNAcentral
AGCGAACGCUGGCGGCGUGCCUAACACAUGCAAGUCGAACGUGAACGCCUUCGGGCUAGUAAAGUGGCAGACGGGUGAGUAACACGUGGGUAAUCUUCCUUGAAGCUCGGAAUAACCUGCCGAAAGGCGGGCUAAUACUGGAUAGUACGCGAAGGCCGUGAAGGCCUUUUCGGGAAAGGGAGCUCGCAAGAGCCCUCACUUCAAGAUGAGCCUGCGUCCCAUUAGUUAGUUGGUGGGGUAAUGGCCUACCAAGACUUUGAUGGGUAGCUGGUCUGAGAGGACGAUCAGCCACACUGGAACUGAGACACGGUCCAGACUCCUACGGGAGGCAGCAGUGGGGAAUAUUGCGCAAUGGGCGAAAGCCUGACGCAGCAACGCCGCGUGAGUGAAGAAGGCCUUCGGGUUGUAAAGCUCUGUCAAGCGGGACGAAUAGCCUAUUAGUGCAUAGCUAGUAGGUCUGACGGUACCGCUGGAGGAAGCACCGGCUAACUUCGUGCCAGCAGCCGCCGUAA